Molecule: ribosomal RNA, 288 nt
Filed under: Triticum aestivum (bread wheat)
Lineage: Eukaryota; Viridiplantae; Streptophyta; Magnoliopsida; Poales; Poaceae
Description: partial small subunit ribosomal RNA
Source: RNAcentral
AUGUCUAUUGUAGAGGCUCAAGUAGAAGAGGGGGCUAAGAAGGAAAGAGUCGUAGCUGGAGCUCAAUUCACCUGGAUUGCUGUGAAUUUUACGCAUUGCCCUCAGGAUGCUGAUGAGGAUGUGGUGCAGACAUAUGCUCGUGUGUACAUGUGGUACAUUAUCAGCCGGACUUUGUUUGCUGACAGUACUGGCAAGAAUGCUCCAUGGAUGUGGCUGAAGCCAGGCUAUUCUGGAAAUGACCCCGGUUGGAAAAGGCAAAGAGGAAGGUGCACUUCGAACAUUCAUUAA